Molecule: ribosomal RNA, 301 nt
Filed under: uncultured bacterium
Lineage: Bacteria
Description: partial 16S ribosomal RNA
Rfam family: Bacterial small subunit ribosomal RNA
Source: RNAcentral
CAGCAGCCGCGGUAAUACGUAGGGUGCAAGCGUUGUCCGGAAUUAUUGGGCGUAAAGAGCGUGUAGGCGGCUCGACAAGUCCGCUGUGAAAGUCCAGGGCUCAACCCUGGAAUGCCGGUGGAUACUGUCGAGCUAGAGUCCGGAAGGGGCGAGUGGAACUCCUGGUGUAGCGGUGAAAUGCGCAGAUAUCAGGAAGAACACCAAUGGCGAAGGCAGCUCGCUGGGACGUGACUGACGCUGAGACGCGAAAGCGUGGGGAGCGAACAGGAUUAGAUACCCCAGUAGUCCCUGUCUCUUAUAC